Molecule: long non-coding RNA, 374 nt
Filed under: Homo sapiens (human)
Lineage: Eukaryota; Metazoa; Chordata; Mammalia; Primates; Hominidae
Description: HSALNT0180069
Source: RNAcentral
CUUGUUUUACAAGUUGAAAUCUUUACCGUUAUGGUACGUUUACAGUAAUGCAGGUAACAUUAGCGCAUUCACUUAGAGCAGAGUUAUUUAUCUUCAUAGGGCUUAAUACAAAGCCAAGACCGAAUUACUUGCUUAAACUGCUUUCUAGUCUUUGACUUAAAACAAAAAAGAAAAAUUGCUUCUACCUCCUCUCUAUGUCAGGAUGAUAAACAAUGCCAACAAUUAAGUGGUCUGGUAUUUCUAAAAAUGGCAGAUUGUAUUCCAAUAGCUCUUAAGUUGUAAAUCUUAAGGUUUUAGCUAAAUAUGUCUAUCAAAUUGUCAUUAUCUCUGCUUUCAGGAAAAUUAUGUCACCUUUGGUAAUAGGCUGCUAACAA